Molecule: transfer RNA, 63 nt
Filed under: Lupinus luteus (yellow lupine)
Lineage: Eukaryota; Viridiplantae; Streptophyta; Magnoliopsida; Fabales; Fabaceae
Description: transfer RNA-Leu
Source: RNAcentral
CGUCUUAGAGUGGACGCUGCUUUAAACACGUGGUCGUGGGUUCGAUCCCCACAGACGAGACCA